CAGCAGCCGCGGUAAUACCGAGGGUGCGAGCGUUAAUCGGAUUUACUGGGCGUAAAGCGUGCGUAGGCGGCUAAUUGAGUCGGAUGUGAAAUCCCCGAGCUUAACUUGGGAAUUGCAUUCGAUACUGGUUAGCUAGAGUGUGGGAGAGGAUGGUAGAAUUCCAGGUGUAGCGGUGAAAUGCGUAGAGAUCUGGAGGAAUACCGAUGGCGAAGGCAGCCAUCUGGCCUAACACUGACGCUGAGGUACGAAAGCAUGGGGAGCAAACAGGAUUAGAUACCCCGAUAGUCCCUGUCUCUUAUAU
RNAcentral lists this ribosomal RNA (301 nucleotides) under uncultured bacterium. Its description in RNAcentral is "partial 16S ribosomal RNA". It matches the Rfam family "Bacterial small subunit ribosomal RNA", at positions 509 to 809 of the family's 1533-position model. The record is from RNAcentral.